RNAcentral lists this ribosomal RNA (497 nucleotides) under uncultured bacterium. Its description in RNAcentral is "partial 16S ribosomal RNA". It matches the Rfam family "Bacterial small subunit ribosomal RNA", at positions 28 to 507 of the family's 1533-position model. The record is from RNAcentral.
GAUGAACGCUGGCGGCGUGCCUAAUACAUGCAAGUCGAGCGAACAGACGAGGAGCUUGCUCCUUUGACGUUAGCGGCGGACGGGUGAGUAACACGUAGAUAACCUACCUAUAAGACUGGGAUAACUUCGGGAAACCGGAGCUAAUACCGGAUAAUAUUUCGAACCGCAUGGUUCGAUAGUGAAAGAUGGCUUUGCUAUCACUUAUAGAUGGACCUGCGCCGUAUUAGCUAGUUGGUAAGGUAACGGCUUACCAAGGCAGCGAUACGUAGCCGACCUGAGAGGGUGAUCGGCCACACUGGAACUGAGACACGGUCCAGACUCCUACGGGAGGCAGCAGUAGGGAAUCUUCCGCAAUGGGCGAAAGCCUGACGGAGCAACGCCGCGUGAGUGAUGAAGGUCUUCGGAUCGUAAAACUCUGUUAUUAGGGAAGAACAAACGUGUAAGUAACUGUGCACGUCUUGACGGUACCUAAUCAGAAAGCCACGGCUAACUACGUG